GAUGAACGCUGGCGGCGUGCUUAACACAUGCAAGUCGAACGGAAAGGCCCAAGCUUGCUUGGGUACUCGAGUGGCGAACGGGUGAGUAACACGUGGGUGAUCUGCCCUGCACUUCGGGAUAAGCCUGGGAAACUGGGUCUAAUACCGGAUAGGACCACUUCUUGGAUGUUGUGGUGGAAAGUUUUUUCGGUGUGGGAUGAGCUCGCGGCCUAUCAGCUUGUUGGUGGGGUAAUGGCCUACCAAGGCGUCGACGGGUAGCCGGCCUGCGAGGGUGUACGGCGACAUUGGGACUGAGAUACGGCCCAGACUCCUACGCGAGGCAGCAGUGGGGAAUCUUGCACAAUGGGCGCAAGCCUGAUGCAGCGACGCCGCGUGGGGGAUGACGGCCUUCGGGUUGUAAGCUCCUUUCGCUAGGGACGAAGCGUUUUGUGACGGUACCUGGAGAAGAAGCACCGGCUAACUACGUG
This 467-nucleotide ribosomal RNA is filed under the name uncultured bacterium. Its description in RNAcentral is "partial 16S ribosomal RNA". It matches the Rfam family "Bacterial small subunit ribosomal RNA", at positions 28 to 507 of the family's 1533-position model. The record is from RNAcentral.